This 76-nucleotide transfer RNA is filed under the name Mycoplasmataceae bacterium. Its description in RNAcentral is "tRNA-Trp". It matches the Rfam family "tRNA". Rfam says of the family: Transfer RNA (tRNA) molecules are approximately 80 nucleotides in length. Their secondary structure includes four short double-helical elements and three loops (D, anti-codon, and T loops). RNAcentral also lists the same sequence under 1 other name. Lineage: Bacteria; Bacillati; Mycoplasmatota; Mollicutes; Mycoplasmatales; Mycoplasmataceae. The record is from RNAcentral.
AGGAGUGUAGCUCAGUCGGAAGAGCAGUGGUCUCCAAAACCAAUUGUCGCGGGUUCAAUUCCUGUCACUCCUGCCA